Haliotis rubra (blacklip abalone) is the source of this 652-nucleotide long non-coding RNA. RefSeq lists it as uncharacterized. The transcript has 3 exons. NCBI's taxonomy places the organism in Eukaryota, Metazoa, Mollusca, Gastropoda, Lepetellida, Haliotidae. The record is from RefSeq and is a predicted model, not a curated record.
GUCAAGUUUGUGGACGAGUGUGGUAUCGAUGAGGGAGGGCCAUCGAGGGAAUUCCUCCGGCUGCUUAUGAUAGACAUAGCUAACCUACCGAUUUUUUGCGGACCGGAGAAUUCAAAAAUGCUCGACCUUAACUACCCAGUAAUCAGCUUUGACCCCUGCGUAGAUUCGCUUUGCAAGAUCGGACAUACGAACUUGUUGGACAGAUGAUUGCAUACUCUAUUGUGCACGGUGGACCACUACCCAAUUUCCUCCAUCCACUUCUGUAUGAUGCCAUGGUCCAUGGCAUAGACAGCGUUCAGCCAACAACAGACCACAUUAUGGACCACGAAUACAGGGAUCAAGUGGUGAAGGUAAGGGUGCACAACCGAUCAGUGAAUAGACAACCUAACUAAAAGCUAAUCACACGUAUUUUACUAUUAGUUCAGUAAGUUUAUUUCGUCUGGUAUACACGGGAAUACAAGUACAUUAAUAAUCUGCUGUCUGUUAUCUCGUUAAAAAUAUGCUCAGUGAACUAAGCGCUAUUCCAAAACAUUCCAAGAAUAUUGUAAAGUGUACAUUUCAAGAUUCAUUCAUUUCAUUAUUAGUUUAACAAUGGAAUUUAGUUACGUUGAUUGAAAUGAUCAGUAUUUGAUAUAAAGCACUAUCGUGUAGU